This 1053-nucleotide long non-coding RNA is filed under the name Taeniopygia guttata (zebra finch). RNAcentral's name for it is "lncRNA (ENSTGUG00000022954.1)". Lineage: Eukaryota; Metazoa; Chordata; Aves; Passeriformes; Estrildidae. The record is from RNAcentral.
GCUGCGGUGGGAGCAGCGGGCAGACACGGCACGGGCACUCCCAUCACCGGGCACCUCUGCUCCAGGCAGCCCCCGGCCCGGCACUCCCUGCACCGCCAUCCCUGGGACAACCCGCUCAGGGAACCUCGGCUCGGCAACGCCGGCCCGGGCACGCCGGCCGGGGCAGCGCUCCCCGCCGCCCGCCCAGCCCGACCGGGACCGCGGCAGAACAAAGGUGCUGGGGGUUGCUCGGGCGUGCCCGGGGUGCGCUUGGUGGUUGCCCGGCGGGUGCCCAGGCGGUGCUCGGGGACGCUCGAAGGGCGCCCGGGAGAGGCUGCUCGGGGAUGGCCGGAGGGAGCGCCGGGGGACGCUCGAGGGGGGCUCGGGGGUGCUCGGGCGGAGCCGCCCUCACGGGCAGCGCCGCGCGGGCCGACAGCGACCCCUGCCGGGCGGGAACGGCCACCGAGCGGAGCUUGGCAGCGCGCAUGCGCGAGGCCUCCGCCGCAGCCCCCGGCAGUGCGGAGCCCCGGGGCCCCCCCAGCACCCCGAGCCCCGCUCCGGUCCCCUCAGCACCCCGAGUCCCGCUCCUGUCCCCACUUAGCACCCCGAGCCCCGCUCCGGUCCCCUCAGCACCCCGAGUCCCGCUCCGGUCCCCUCAGCACCCCGAGUCCCGCUCCGGUCCCCUCAGCACCCCGAGCCCCGCUCCUGUCCCCACUUAGCACCCCGAGCCCCGCUCCGGUCCCCUCAGCACCCCGAGCCCCGCUCCGGUCCCCUCAGCACCCCGAGCCUUGCUCCGGUCCCCUCAUCUCCCUCUCAGCCCCUGCCCACUACUGCUACAGGGUGCCCAGAGCAACUGUGGUUGUCACAUCCCUGGAAGUGUCCAAGGCCAGGCUGGACGGGGCUUGGAGCACCCUGAAAGGUGGAAGGUGUUCCUGCGCAUGGCAGGCGGUGGAACAACAUGAGCAGAUGGAGAGUCCUGGCUCAGGGCACCAGCAGGGCAGUGAAGACCUCAUUAAAGGACCAGCAUCAGUUUCUGUUUUGGGAUCAGGGACUGAUAGGCAGAGCUGGAAAUGA